This 247-nucleotide ribosomal RNA is filed under the name Photobacterium damselae. Its description in RNAcentral is "partial 16S ribosomal RNA". It matches the Rfam family "Bacterial small subunit ribosomal RNA", at positions 1 to 233 of the family's 1533-position model. Lineage: Bacteria; Pseudomonadati; Pseudomonadota; Gammaproteobacteria; Vibrionales; Vibrionaceae. The record is from RNAcentral.
UUAAUUGAAGAGUUUGAUCAUGGCUCAGAUUGAACGCUGGCGGCAGGCCUAACACAUGCAAGUCGAGCGGCAGCGACUUAACUGAACCUUCGGGGAAUGUUAAGGGCGGCGAGCGGCGGACGGGUGAGUAAUGCCUGGGAAUAUGCCCUGAUGUGGGGGAUAACUAUUGGAAACGAUAGCUAAUACCGCAUAAUCUCUUCGGAGCAAAGAGGGGGACCUUCGGGCCUCUCGCGUCAGGAUUAGCCCA